Long non-coding RNA from Apis florea (little honeybee), 1716 nucleotides. RefSeq lists it as uncharacterized. The record is from RefSeq and is a predicted model, not a curated record. NCBI's taxonomy places the organism in Eukaryota, Metazoa, Arthropoda, Insecta, Hymenoptera, Apidae.
AGAGAGAGAGAGAGAGGGACUAACGACUAUUGUGUAUCCGGGCGGCGCAGAAUCGACAGUCGAUGUUGGGCGCGUUACGCGGGAUCGCAUUAGCUCGAUUAGGAAAAUUUCCACGAGCGGCGAAGAGGCGCGAGCCGAAGCGAAAAUCGUUUCGAUGAUUUAUCUUACGACCGUUUCGCCCGUUCGAUCGAAGAAAUUAGCCCGACGGCCGCGCUCAAACUACGAUUAUAACAGCCAAAGUGUACACCUGCUAUACUCGCGUCGCUUCGUUUAUUAACCAACCAUUCAAACGCCUCUUCCUCGAACCCUAAUAGGUCCAACGGAGAUUGGAUUUGAUUCACGAUCUAAUCAUCGAGAGAAUAAGUCGAGUAAAUCGAUCCUCCGCGUGACGGGGACACGCGAUAUCGUAAGACUAUACAUUUUCGGCGCAACGCAAUACCUUUGAGUAUAACGCGGACACGAUUCUAUAAUCUUUGUUAACGAUACCUUGCUACUUCCUUCCUUCCUUCCUUCCUUCUUUCCUUGUUUCCCUGUUUUUCUCUUUAUUAAGAAGUUGGAUUUAAAAAAAAAAAAGAAAAGAAAAAAAUAUGAAUAUCGAUGCAUCUUCCUUUUCGACCUAUUCGUACUUACGGCGGCGAUUCGGUGACGCAAAUGCGAAAAUCUUGGUUAUCUUACGACUGUCACGGAUCGUAAUGAUUUGUUGUUUGAAGAGAGGUUGAAAAUCGAGAAGAAAAAAAUUAAUCGUUUUGGAGAAUUUCGAGAUAAUAAAAGAUCGCUGAUAUUCGUGCGGAGAAGGUAUACGGUGUACGGUACGCGGUGAGAGAUAUACGGUACGCGACUAAAUCGGUCGAGAUGAUACGCGGUCGCUUUAUGAGCACGCGCGAUCGGCUAUGCGCGAGAAAUACGUCAAGAAUGCGCGAAGAACGCAAGAGGCGAGCCUCCAGCAUCGAGAGUCCCGAUUGGUCCCGAUUGGUCCCGAUUAGUCCCGAUUAGUCCCGAACGGCCCGCAUUGUUGCACGCGUCAUAACGCACUGCUGCUACAAGACACAUACCGUGUUACAGAUUCGAACUUACUCUCAUUCCCCGCCUCCAGUUGUGCUUGUCAACUCCUCCUAACCACGAUAAGCCGCGAAUUAUCCCAUUCUUCGCAACUCGUUCCUACACGAUUCACACACGGUUAUAUUCGAUCGGUCAAGGACACGAUAAUACGAUUUUUAUCCAAUCUUAUGCUUUAGAACGAAAAAACUCGACUCAACGCAUCAAUCGUAAUUGCGAUUCCAUAAAAAUAUAAUAUAUACGCGAACAAUAUAUUUCUCUUUGAGAACAAAUAAGGAAAAGAAAAAGAAAAAGAAAAAAACAAGACAAGAGUUUCUAUCUUCGUUUCGGUUGAUAUUUUAAGAUCAAACAUCACGAGUAAAUUUGAUAGAGGUGACAAAUUGCACAUGUCUCGUUAUCCAUAGCAAAGAGAGUAUCGUGAUAUGCAUGAUACCUUCGCGACGAAAAACCAUGCGUUGGGAUUGGUCGAAGAAAGAACGAGGAAGGGAAGGCAAAGGGAGUGUAAAGCCAAUUGCGCAUGGAAAUAGGUCGGAGCGGAGGGCUCGCGGUAUCGAGAGGGCACACGGUGACGAUGACGACAAUAAUGACAACCAGAAAGAAGCAAAAAUUUUGAUAUCGCGUUCCUUCUGACUCUCGUUCGACCGAAUUAUCAAACAGAAA